RNAcentral lists this ribosomal RNA (449 nucleotides) under Klebsiella pneumoniae. RNAcentral's name for it is "partial 23S ribosomal RNA". It matches the Rfam family "Bacterial large subunit ribosomal RNA", at positions 791 to 1238 of the family's 2925-position model. The record is from RNAcentral. Lineage: Bacteria; Pseudomonadati; Pseudomonadota; Gammaproteobacteria; Enterobacterales; Enterobacteriaceae.
GAAAAAUUAGCGGAUGACUUGUGGCUGGGGGUGAAAGGCCAAUCAAACCGGGAGAUAGCUGGUUCUCCCCGAAAGCUAUUUAGGUAGCGCCUCGUGAAUUCAUCUUCGGGGGUAGAGCACUGUUUCGGCUAGGGGGUCAUCCCGACUUACCAACCCGAUGCAAACUACGAAUACCGAAGAAUGUUAUCACGGGAGACACACGGCGGGUGCUAACGUCCGUCGUGAAGAGGGAAACAACCCAGACCGCCAGCUAAGGUCCCAAAGUCAUGGUUAAGUGGGAAACGAUGUGGGAAGGCACAGACAGCCAGGAUGUUGGCUUAGAAGCAGCCAUCAUUUAAAGAAAGCGUAAUAGCUCACUGGUCGAGUCGGCCUGCGCGGAAGAUGUAACGGGGCUAAACCAUGCACCGAAGCUGCGGCAGCGACACUAUGUGUUGUUGGGUAGGGGAGCG